AUUUUUGAAUGGAAGGCCCAUGUG
RNAcentral lists this microRNA (24 nucleotides) under Solanum tuberosum (potato). RNAcentral describes it as "stu-miR8016". The record is from miRBase by way of RNAcentral. Lineage: Eukaryota; Viridiplantae; Streptophyta; Magnoliopsida; Solanales; Solanaceae.